AAAAAUAGUUCAAAAGCUGUCAAAAUAAAAUGGUGAAUUAAGUUUAAACCAGAAAAGAUAUAAACGUAAUCUUUGGGAUUCAACUUGUAAGGAUGUUCCAAGAACCACUUAGUUGGAGAAGGAAAACUGUGCCGUUCAUUAACAAGUCCUGUGCUUUAUAAUAUAUUAAAAAAUGGAAGGACGUGAAGAAAACAGGCAGGAAUGUUUGACUGGAAAUAUAAACGAUGUUGUACAUAAUGCAGAUAGCUUAGG
Molecule: non-coding RNA, 252 nt
Organism: Hydra vulgaris (swiftwater hydra)
Lineage: Eukaryota; Metazoa; Cnidaria; Hydrozoa; Anthoathecata; Hydridae
Source: RefSeq, a predicted model, not a curated record